CGGGCAAUGAAGCAAGCUGUCCAUCUCCUAACAGACAGAUGGACAGAUUGUGGACUCAGAUGCAGGGGACAUGAAUUUUUGGACACAGACAAUGAGCUCCCGAUCUACAAUCCAUCAUUAUCACCAUGACUGGGUCAACUCCUCUUCAGACCUGAUCUGUGACAAAUAGUCUUUAGACCAACUUUUCCAUAAUAUCAGAUAUGGAAGAGACCUUACAGGCUGUACUCCAAAAUGUGACCAAACAAAAAUGACCACACUAUCUAUCUGUCAUUGGGGCAUGGAGGUAACCCUGAGUCCUUUAAGACUAUGCAAGCAGAGCACGGUGAGGACGAUGUUAAACACCCUCCAGCUUUGGUUCAGCUGCUUCUUCCCCGGUUACUCAGACUCACUAAGAGCUGCACCUCCCAGGCAGAACUUUUGUCACUGCCCCCCCUUCAACCCAUCUCUUAGGAAACUCCCAUGAUGCUUCUCAAAAAAAUAUCCUUUUGUCAGAUUCCUUUGGGGAGGAUAGUCUCUGAUUGACUGAAAGAAAACUCUGAACCACAGGAAACUGGAUCCUUAACUUGGAUCCAGGGCCAGAGCCUAGAUUUCCUUUUCCCAAGAGGCAUGGUUAAUACUAUUGCAGAGCAUUCUCAAGGCAAGACCAUCAGAUGGUCCUGUGACAUUCCUUUCCUUGGAAACAAACAACUUUGGGGAGUAAUUGUACUUAAGAGGAUUGGGAAGGGCCAUGUACAUUAACGAGACUGUAUUAGGUGUAUAUAAAUCAUUCCGAAUUUCUUGCGUGUUAAUUUCCAGGCUGAGCUUGUUUAACAGGGGGAAAAAAUGAUGUUUCCAGUCACUGUGUCUGCUGGUCCCCUCCCCCAAAUCCCUCCACUUCCGUUAUUCAAGACACGCUGGAAGGAACAAAAUGUUCCUGAAGUUAAAGGGGCCUGCCAAAUCCCUCCCACUUUCCAGGGAGCUUGUUUUCUUGUUUUUUAAACUGAGUUCUGUAAAAAGCACAAGCUACAACACAAGGGUUGUUUCUCCUCUACUCCCUCCAGUGACUCAGGGACACAGCCUCCUUCACUCCCUAAAUGCAUUACUGCAGUGCAGUAUUCCUGGCACAUUUGCCAGGAGCGACUUCUCCAUGCCACAGCUGCAUUGGGAUCCAGGCCAGGAAGUGAGAUGCCUGAAUUUGCUGAUGCAGAAAAUUUCAGUAGAAACCUUUGCCACCCAUGUGGCAGAGAGGUUUUCCAGCCCUUUCAUUUCCUCCUCUCCUUUCCUCUCCUUUCCUCCUUUUAUCCUCUCACUCAAUCUGAGGGUCAGAAGAAAAACCGUGGUAGGUUUUCUAGUCUUCUCCCCCCAUUCUUGAUCACAGACACAAUUAAGCCAUCCUGAAGAGAAAAGCAUUUUUUGUUUGUUUGAAAAACCUCCAAGGGGGAUUCCACAACCUUUGCAAUUCAGUUCCAAGAUAACUUUAAAAUAUAAUUAGAUGAGACUAGAAUAUAAUCAUACCCCACUUCUGGUGCCCAUUAAUAGGACCAUACUCCAGUGAAAGAAUGACAAAGUUUGACUUCAUUAAAGGAAGGUAGCUUGGUAGUGGAUGGAGUGCUGAAAGUAGUGAAGAGAUCUGUGUUCAAAUCCUGACUGAUAUUUAGUAGACAUGUGAUAAUAAGAGGAAUCACUGUAAAAUGAAGAUAACAUACUUGCACUUAAUACAUUCCAGUGUUGCUGUGGAGAAAGUCUCAGCUAAUGUCCUGCCUUCUAUAAAAAGCCUUUCCUAAUCCUCUUUAAUCUUAGUGCCUUCUUUCAGAGAUUAUCUGCAAUUUAUCCUGUAUAUAUCUUGUUUGUAAAUAGUUGUUUGUAUGUUAG
This is a long non-coding RNA of Dromiciops gliroides (monito del monte), 1851 nucleotides long. RefSeq lists it as uncharacterized. The transcript has 4 exons. The record is from RefSeq and is a predicted model, not a curated record. NCBI's taxonomy places the organism in Eukaryota, Metazoa, Chordata, Mammalia, Microbiotheria, Microbiotheriidae.